This 30-nucleotide transfer RNA is filed under the name Conopholis americana. RNAcentral describes it as "tRNA-Gly". The record is from RNAcentral. Lineage: Eukaryota; Viridiplantae; Streptophyta; Magnoliopsida; Lamiales; Orobanchaceae.
GGAUAUAGUAAAAUGGUAAAAUUUAUCUUU